UUCCUUAAUUAUAAUUUGUUUCCACAUUCUGGCUGUGACAGUGGACUAUCAACCUUAAAAAUGGAGACCAUGGGCACCUGUGUAGCUCACCUGGUAGAGUCUGCACCCAUACACAAAGGCUCAG
Molecule: long non-coding RNA, 124 nt
Organism: Etheostoma spectabile (orangethroat darter)
Lineage: Eukaryota; Metazoa; Chordata; Actinopteri; Perciformes; Percidae
Exons: 3
Source: RefSeq, a predicted model, not a curated record